Molecule: non-coding RNA, 3445 nt
Organism: Macaca mulatta (Rhesus monkey)
Lineage: Eukaryota; Metazoa; Chordata; Mammalia; Primates; Cercopithecidae
Source: RefSeq, a predicted model, not a curated record
AGGUUUCGCAGGGCUCUGGAGGAGAAGAGCUGUGUUCCUAAUCACGAUCACAAUGGGAAUGGAGAUUGCAGGGGACUGCAGGGGCCAGGUUCUCAUUCCCCAAAGCUUCCCCUUCAUCAUCCAAGAAGGCACUCAGGUCUGUCUGUGCAAGGCCCCAGGUAAAGUGCUGGGCUACCCAGUAAUUGGGUUCGGUAGCAGGAUGGCCUCAGAUUGAGGUCCCAGGGCCAAAGGACCGCCCCUCUCCCCAGCGUGGGUUCAGGAAAGACAGGCUCCAGGCGGGAGCACACGCCGCGCCCCUGGAGCCCGGCUCCCUCGCCACGCCCACUUCCUGCCCCCAUCCCGCGCCUUUCCAGGUCUUCUCCCGGUGAACCGGAUGCUCUGUCAGUCUCCUCCUCUGCGUCCUCGGCCGCGGCCCGUGUCCCUAGCAAAGCCGCUGCCACCCCGGAGGGCCCAGCCAGUGGGCUCCCGGAGGCUGGCCGGGCAGGCGUGGUGCGCGGUAGGAGCUGGGCGCCCACGGCUACCGCGCGUGGAGGAGACACUGCCCUGCCGCGAUGGGGGCCCGGGGCGCUCCUUCACGCCGUAGGCAAGCGGGGCGGCGGCUGCGGUACCUGCCCACCGGGAGCUUUCCCUUCCUUCUGCUGCUGCUGCUGCUCUGCAUCCAGCUCGGGGGAGGACAGAAGAAAAAGGAGAAUCUUUUAGCUGAAAAAGUAGAGCAGCUGAUGGAAUGGAGUUCCAGACGCUCAAUCUUCCGAAUGAAUGGUGAUAAAUUCCGAAAAUUUAUAAAGGCACCACCUCGAAACUAUUCCAUGAUUGUUAUGUUCACUGCUCUUCAGCCUCAGCGGCAGUGUUCUGUGUGCAGGCAAGCUAAUGAAGAAUAUCAAAUACUGGCAAACUCCUGGCGCUAUUCAUCUGCUUUUUGUAACAAGCUCUUCUUCAGUAUGGUGGACUAUGAUGAGGGGACAGACGUUUUUCAGCAGCUCAACAUGAACUCUGCUCCUACAUUCAUGCAUUUUCCUCCAAAAGGCAGACCCAAGAGAGCUGAUACUUUUGACCUCCAAAGAAUUGGAUUUGCAGCUGAACAACUAGCAAAGUGGAUUGCUGACAGAACGGAUGUUCAUAUUCGGGUUUUCAGACCACCCAACUACUCUGGUACCAUUGCUUUGGCCCUGUUAGUGUCGCUUGUUGGAGGUUUGCUUUAUUUGAGAAGGAACAACUUGGAGUUCAUCUAUAACAAGACUGGUUGGGCCAUGGUGUCUCUGUGUAUAGUCUUUGCUAUGACUUCUGGCCAGAUGUGGAACCAUAUCCGUGGACCUCCAUAUGCUCAUAAGAACCCACACAAUGGACAAGUGAGCUACAUUCAUGGGAGCAGCCAGGCUCAGUUUGUGGCAGAAUCACACAUUAUUCUGGUACUGAAUGCCGCUAUCACCAUGGGGAUGGUUCUUCUAAAUGAAGCAGCAACUUCGAAAGGAGAUGUUGGAAAAAGACGGAUACAUUUUCAUUGAGAAGAAUGUGGAAAAUAUUGAACACAUUGUAUUGUGGAUAAUCUGGUUUGUUGUACCUGUAUGUGCCAUGAACUAUUAAAUUAAUUUGCCUAGUGGGAUUGGGCCUGGUGGUCUUCUUCUUCAGUUUUCUACUUUCAAUAUUUCGUUCCAAGUACCACGGCUAUCCUUAUAGCUUUUUAAUUAAAUGAAGCCAAGUGGGAUUUGCAUAAAGUGAAUGUUUACCAUGAAGAUAAACUGUUCCUGACUUUAUACUAUUUUGAAUUCAUUCAUUUGAUUGUGAUCAGCUAGCUUAUUCUUGUGUACUUUUUUUAAACUGUGGGUUUUCCUAGUAAAUUUAAUUUAUAGAAAUCAAUGGUAGCAUUUAGUGUUCUACAAAGGAAAUAUCAAAGUGUUUUUCAAGCCUAUUAUAUUCAGUGUGUGCCACAGGAUUGAAAUAAAUGACAAUGUAAUUAUGAAUUCAUGUUUUAGAACUGUUUACUCAUUAGUAAAGGACUGCAAUGUUAGUAAAGAAAACCUAUGGCAUGUAUGUUAAAGAUUCUUAGUAUUGUACAGGGAUAAAGCAAAUGCAUGAAAAUAUGUACUGAAAAUUAAACUUACUGCAGUUUCAGUUAUAAAGGACGUGCACUGUUAUAAAUAGUCUUUUGUUAUUAUUAACUAGAUAAAGGUAUAUAGGACAGGGAACUGGAUGAGUGGUACCUAUAAUUUGGAUGCCUAACCAAGGCCUAGAGCUUCUUCUUGAGAUCUGAAUCUAAAGUAAGUAUGCAUUAGAUCAGUGUGCUUCAAAGGCAUCAGACAACAAAAGCAACAUACCACAACUAGGAGUUAAUUCUCAAACUUUAGAUGUCAUCUGGGAAUACAGACUUACAAGUAAGAGCAAACUUAACACGCUAUGUCCAUUUUCGAGGUCACAACCCACUAUGUCCAUUUUCCUCAUGUGUUUUAUGGAACCAGCUUUCCAUCAAAGCCUCAAUCCUCGAAUCCAGACAAAAGGUGAAUUAUCCUAGGAUUAGUGAAUGAUUCAGUGAAGUUUUCUUGAAAACAAAUGUAGGAGUGUAACAUACUAUUAUGUUUGCAUCCUGUUUUAGUUUAUAAAGCACUUACACAUAAUUAUGGUAUUUCUUCCUCACAAUAACCUUGUAAAUUAGUCAGGAAAUGUAAAUUUUGUCUGACUUACAGAAGUGAUGGAAGCUGAAAGCCGAAAAUAAAGUUUAUAGCCAGGCCUUAGAACUCUCAAAUAGGGAUUUUUAUAUUCUGUGGAGUUACCCAAAUUAUGGUUUUAAGAAAGCAGUUCUUCAGUCAGUUCAGUGUUUGCUUUCUCUUUUUAAGGUUUGUUAUCUAAUUUUCAUUAACAUUUGAAUAAUAGACCAUGGAGGAUUGUUUUCAUUGCAAGUUCCAGCUGUAUAGCCUCAAACAAGAAACAGGUAUACAACCACUGAGUUUACUUAUUUAAAUCUAUGAAUUUCAAUGAAGAAUGGAAAAUACAGAGGCCUACUGGGGCAUGUUUAUCAAGUUAUAUCCCAGGGCAGUGAGUAUGUUAGCAGGAUGAAUGGUAUCAUCUUUUCAAAACAUAAUAUUCAGUGAAAAUCACAUAAUUUUAAGUUUAUAGUCAUAAUCCCAAAUCUGUUACUAAAAAUAACAUUAAUUUUCCCAGUUCUUGUACUAAGAUGAAUAAAUUUAGUUUUGGAAUAACAUUUAUGCAAAAGCAAUAGAUGACCUUAGUCAUUUGUUCACUGCCUAUCCCUAGCCAAAACUUGACCUGUAAUUCUUAAUUCAUUGCAGAUUUUUUACAUUUUACUCAAAACUUUGGAGAUUACACAGAGAAUCUCAGGUCAAAUUUUACAAGUAUUAAACAUGUGUUAAUUAUAAUCACUUUUGUUUGUAUCCUUAAAUCUCAGAAUUAUCUUGCAGUUAAUAUGCAGCUGAUUAAAUGAUACUACAAAUUA